This 93-nucleotide microRNA precursor is filed under the name Chlorocebus sabaeus (green monkey). RNAcentral describes it as "miRNA (ENSCSAG00000025418.1)". It matches the Rfam family "mir-3688 microRNA precursor family". The record is from RNAcentral. Lineage: Eukaryota; Metazoa; Chordata; Mammalia; Primates; Cercopithecidae.
UCUUCACUUUCAAAAGUGACAAAGUCUUUCCACAUGUAUGUAUGUGUGUCUAUUACACAUAUGGAAAGACUUUGCCACUCUUUAAAGUGAGGA